UGAGGAAUAUUGGUCAAUGGGGGCAACCCUGAACCAGCCAAGUCGCGUGAAGGAUGAAGGUCUUAUGGAUUGUAAACUUCUUUUACACGGGAAUAAAGCGGGGGACGUGUCCCUCUUUGCAUGUACCGUGUGAAUAAGGAUCGGCUAACUCCGUGCCAGCAGCCGCGGUAAUACGGAGGAUCCGAGCGUUAUCCGGAUUUACUGGGUUUAAAGGGUGCGUAGGUGGGCUUAUAAGUCAGUGGUGAAAUCUCCGAGCUUAACUUGGAAACUGCCGUUGAUACUAUAGGUCUUGAAUUAUCUGGAGGUAAGCGGAAUAUGUCAUGUAGCGGUGAAAUGCUUAGAUAUGACAUAGAACACCAAUUGCGAAGGCAGCUUACUACAUAUAAAUUGACGCUGAGGCACGAAAGCGUGGGGAUCAAACA
This 422-nucleotide ribosomal RNA is filed under the name uncultured bacterium. RNAcentral describes it as "bacterial SSU rRNA". It matches the Rfam family "Bacterial small subunit ribosomal RNA", at positions 355 to 774 of the family's 1533-position model. The record is from RNAcentral.